ACGACCUUACUUAAACAUGAUUUGUUCUAUAGGCUCGUACCUCUGUAUCAUUGAGUUCUAAGGAGACAGGAAAUCAAACCUAGCUCUGAUACCAAGACAGAGAGUUCUUCACAAAGGUAUUUCACUCUUCAGUCUAUUAACAUGGUAUCAGAGCCAUAGCAAUAAAAAAAUUGUUACACAAUUGUGAAGAACUCUCUGUGUUGGUAUCAGAGCUAGGUU
This 219-nucleotide small nucleolar RNA is filed under the name Ipomoea nil (Japanese morning glory). RNAcentral describes it as "Plant small nucleolar RNA U3". It matches the Rfam family "Plant small nucleolar RNA U3". From Rfam's summary of the family: Small nucleolar RNAs (snoRNAs) are involved in the processing and modification of rRNA in the nucleolus. There are two main classes of snoRNAs: the box C/D class, and the box H/ACA class. U3 snoRNA is a member of the box C/D class. The record is from Rfam by way of RNAcentral. Lineage: Eukaryota; Viridiplantae; Streptophyta; Magnoliopsida; Solanales; Convolvulaceae.